Molecule: ribosomal RNA, 404 nt
Filed under: uncultured Hyphomicrobiales bacterium
Lineage: Bacteria; Pseudomonadati; Pseudomonadota; Alphaproteobacteria; Hyphomicrobiales
Description: bacterial SSU rRNA
Rfam family: Bacterial small subunit ribosomal RNA
Source: RNAcentral
UGGGGAAUAUUGGACAAUGGGCGCAAGCCUGAUCCAGCCAUGCCGCGUGAGUGAUGAAGGCCUUAGGGUUGUAAAGCUCUUUCACCCGGGACGAUAAUGACGGUACCGGGAGAAGAAGCCCCGGCUAACUUCGUGCCAGCAGCCGCGGUAAUACGAAGGGGGCUAGCGUUGUUCGGAAUCACUGGGCGUAAAGCGUACGUAGGCGGACCGUUAAGUCGGAGGUGAAAUCCUGGGGCUCAACCCCAGAACUGCCUUCGAUACUGGCGGUCUCGAGUCCGGAAGAGGUGAGUGGAACUGCCAGUGUAGAGGUGAAAUUCGUAGAUAUUGGCAAGAACACCAGUGGCGAAGGCGGCUCACUGGUCCGGUACUGACGCUGAGGUACGAAAGCGUGGGGAGCAAACAGG